Non-coding RNA from Dipodomys ordii (Ord's kangaroo rat), 65 nucleotides. Lineage: Eukaryota; Metazoa; Chordata; Mammalia; Rodentia; Heteromyidae. The record is from Rfam.
GGUGGCUCAGUGGUAGAGUGCUUGCCUUGCAUGCAGGAGGCCCUGGGUUUGAUUCCUCAGAACCA